CCUACGGGUGGCAGCAGUCGAGAAUCAUUCACAAUGGGGGAAACCCUGAUGGUGCGACGCCGCGUGGGGGAAUGAAGGUCUUCGGAUUGUAAACCCCUGUCAUGUGGGAGCAAAUUAAAAAGAUAGUACCACAAGAGGAAGAGACGGCUAAUUCUGUGCCAGCAGCCGCGGUAAUACAGAGGUCUCAAGCGUUGUUCGGAAUCACUGGGCGUAAAGCGUGCGUAGGCUGUUUCGUAAGUCGUGUGUGAAAGGCGCGGGCUCAACCCGCGGACGGCACAUGAUACUGCGAGACUAGAGUAAGGGAGGGGGAACCGGAAUUCUCGGUGUAGCAGUGAAAUGCGUAGAUAUCGAGAGGAACACUCGUGGCGAAGGCGGGUUCCUGGACAUUAACUGACGCUGAGGCACGAAGGCCAGGGGAGCGAAAGGGAUUAGAUACCCUUGUAGUC
This 446-nucleotide ribosomal RNA is filed under the name uncultured bacterium. RNAcentral describes it as "partial 16S ribosomal RNA". It matches the Rfam family "Bacterial small subunit ribosomal RNA", at positions 338 to 795 of the family's 1533-position model. The record is from RNAcentral.